UCCGGAGAGGGAGCCUGAGACAUGGCUACCACAUCCAAGGAAGGCAGCAGGCGCGUAAAUUGCCCGAAUCCUGACACAGGGAGGUAGUGACAAGAAAUAACAAUACAGGGCUCUUUCGAGUCUUGUAAUUGGAAUGAGUACAAUUUACAUCUCUUCACGAGGAUCAAUUGGAGGGCAAGUCUGGUGCCAGCAGCCGCGGUAAUUCCAGCUCCAAUAGCGUAUAUUAAAGUUGUUGCAGUUAAAACGCUCGUAGUCGGAUUUCGGGGCGGUUUUGCCGGUCUGCCGUUGGGUAUGCACUGGUGCGAGCGUCCUUCCUUCCGGAGACGGCGCCUGCUCUUAACUGAGUGGGUGUCGGAGACGGAUCGUUUACUUUGAAAAAAUCAGAGUGUUUCAAGCAGGCAGCUCGCUUUUGCAUGGAUUAGCAUGGGAUAAUGAAAUAGGACUUUGGUGCUAUUUUGUUGGUUUCGAACACCGAAGUAAUGAUUAACAGGGACAGUCAGGGGCACUCGUAUUCCGCCGAGAGAGGUGGAAUUCUCAGACCAGCGGAAGACGCACCACUGCGAAAGCAUUUGCCAGGGAUGUUUUCACUGAUCAAGAACGAAAGUUAGGGGAUCGAAGACGAUCAGAUACCGUCGUAGUCUUAACCAUAAACCAUGCCGACUAGGGAUUGGAGGAUGUUCCAAUGUGACUCCUUCAGCACCUUUCGGGAAACUAAGUCUUUGGGUUCCGGGGGGAGUAUGGUCGCAAGGCUGAAACUUAAAGGAAUUGACGGAAGGGCACCACCAGGAGUGGAGCCUGCGGCUUAAUUUGAC
Molecule: ribosomal RNA, 812 nt
Filed under: uncultured eukaryote
Lineage: Eukaryota
Description: SSU rRNA
Rfam family: Eukaryotic small subunit ribosomal RNA
Source: RNAcentral